GACGAACGCUGGCGGCGUGCUUAACACAUGCAAGUCGAACGGAAAGGCCCUGCUUUUGUGGGGUGCUCGAGUGGCGAACGGGUGAGUAACACGUGAGUAACCUGCCCUUGACUUUGGGAUAACUUCAGGAAACUGGGGCUAAUACCGGAUAGGAGCUCCUGCUGCAUGGUGGGGGUUGGAAAGUUUCGGCGGUUGGGGAUGGACUCGCGGCUUAUCAGCUUGUUGGUGGGGUAGUGGCUUACAGAGGCUUUGACGGGUAGCCGGCCUGAGAGGGUGACCGGCCACAUUGGGACUGAGAUACGGCCCAGACUCCUACGGGAGGCAGCAGUGGGGAAUAUUGCACAAUGGGCGGAAGCCUGAUGCAGAAACGCCGCGUGCGGGAUGACGGCCUUCGGGUUGUAAACCGCUUUCGCCUGUGACGAAGCGUGAGUGACGGUAAUGGGUAAAGAAGCACCGGCUAACUACGUG
This 468-nucleotide ribosomal RNA is filed under the name uncultured bacterium. RNAcentral describes it as "partial 16S ribosomal RNA". It matches the Rfam family "Bacterial small subunit ribosomal RNA", at positions 28 to 507 of the family's 1533-position model. The record is from RNAcentral.